UACGUAGGCAGCGAGCGUUGUUCGGAAUUACUGGGCGUAAAGAGUGUGUAGGCGGUGCUCUAAGUCAGGUGUGAAAGCCCCGGGCUCAACCUGGGAAUGCCAUUUGAGACUGCAUAGCUAGGGUACGGAAGAGGGAAGCGGAAUUUCAGGUGUAGCGGUGAAAUGCGUAGAUAUCUGAAGGAACACCAGUGGCGAAAGCGGCUUCCUGGUCCAGUACCGACGUUCAGGCACGAAAGCGUGGGGAGCAAACAGG
This 253-nucleotide ribosomal RNA is filed under the name uncultured bacterium. RNAcentral describes it as "partial 16S ribosomal RNA". It matches the Rfam family "Bacterial small subunit ribosomal RNA", at positions 524 to 776 of the family's 1533-position model. The record is from RNAcentral.